ACGGAAGGCAGCAGUGAGGAAUAUUGGUCAAUGGACGGAAGUCUGAACCAGCCAAGUCGCGUGAAGGAGGCGGUUCUAUGGAUUGUAAACUUCUUUUGUAUGAGGGUAAAGUGACCUACGUGUAGGUUAUUGCAAGUAUCAUGUGAAUAAGCAUCGGCUAACUCCGUGCCAGCAGCCGCGGUAAUACGGAGGAUGCGAGCGUUAUCCGGAUUUAUUGGGUUUAAAGGGUGCGUAGGCGGGCUGUUAAGUCAGCGGUGAAAGUUUGCGGCUCAACCGUAAAAUUGCCGUUGAAACUGGCGGUCUUGAGUGUAAACGAGGUAGGCGGAAUGUGAUGUGUAGCGGUGAAAUGCUUAGAUAUGUCACAGAACUCCGAUUGCGAAGGCAGCUUACCAGGAUACAACUGACGCUGAGGCACGAAAGCGUGGGUAUCAAACAGGAUUAGAUACCCUGGUA
RNAcentral lists this ribosomal RNA (453 nucleotides) under uncultured Porphyromonadaceae bacterium. RNAcentral describes it as "partial 16S ribosomal RNA". It matches the Rfam family "Bacterial small subunit ribosomal RNA", at positions 341 to 792 of the family's 1533-position model. Lineage: Bacteria; Pseudomonadati; Bacteroidota; Bacteroidia; Bacteroidales; Porphyromonadaceae. The record is from RNAcentral.